ACUCUGGCAGUGCAGUGCUUGCAGGUACAGAACAGGACAAUUUGAAUCAAGAAAUCUCUCUCCUUUCUUGCCUUGGAGCUGGCUGUGUCAAUCUUCAGUUUUCAAGGGGGAAAAAUCCCAGCCUGUGGAAUUUGUGGCUUUCUAAACCAUUCCUUUGUGCGGUGACUUCACAUCAGAGCAGAUCCUGCUUCUCCAGAGGGGUGGGAGCAGGGAUUGCUGGUCCACAGGAAAUUUUGGGUUAUGGGAGCUCUUCAACCAAACCCCAGUGACUCGCACAGCCUUGCAAGGGUUCAGUGAAUUACAGCAGCACUGGGAGGAAACUCUGACUGUGGGCUUUUAUACCUGAUUUAUAGCCCUCCUCAGGAGAGCACAGUGAGGACAAUGACUUUCACAUGCUGAGUCAAAUAAGAAACAGCCCAAACUUUGAAUUGUUUUGCUCUUUGACUACUCCAGAAAAUCACAGCACAUAGUUUGGACCUGUCUGGGGCUCAUAUAUCUUAUCUGAUGGAUGUUUUCUGGUGAGAAAUGAUGUUCUGAUUCAAUAAUGACUGAAAAUUCUGGGCUGAGCCCACCCUGAGCACUUGCUCUCUGUAGGGUCAUGUUUUGAUUUGCUUUCUGAAGCUGAAGCUGCUCCCAGUGGUGACGUCUCCUGGCUCCAGCAGCAUCCCUGGUCCCCAGGUGCUUCCCCUGACCUUCCAAAUGUUUUAUGGAAUAUAAAGUAUCUUUCUAUAAAGCAGAGCUGUUUUAGAAGGUUUAUUAACAUUUUAUAUAGUGUACAAUGUACUAAAGUAACGGUCCAAUUAUUUAUGUGACAAGAUGUCCCUGAAAAUGUUCAUAUCUGUGCUGUUUUAAUAAGGCACUAAAAAAAUACCAUAACCCUCUGCUGCUGAAGCUUCUCUGGGUAACAGCCCUCAAUUAUAU
This 921-nucleotide long non-coding RNA is filed under the name Cyanistes caeruleus (blue tit). Its description in RNAcentral is "lncRNA (ENSCCEG00000007691.1)". The record is from RNAcentral. Lineage: Eukaryota; Metazoa; Chordata; Aves; Passeriformes; Paridae.